Molecule: ribosomal RNA, 248 nt
Filed under: uncultured bacterium
Lineage: Bacteria
Description: partial small subunit ribosomal RNA
Rfam family: Bacterial small subunit ribosomal RNA
Source: RNAcentral
AGAAUCAACGCUGGCGGCGUGCCUAACACAUGCAAGUCGAACGAGAAAGUGGAGCAAUCCAUGAGUAAAGUGGCGCACGGGUGAGUAACACGUGACUAACCUACCCUUGAGUGGGGGAUAACCUAAGGGAAACCUGGGCUAAUACCGCAUAAUACCUUCGGGUCAAAAGGAGCAAUUCGCUUAAGGAGGGGGUCGCGGCCGAUUAGUUAGUUGGCGGGGUAAUGGCCCACCAAGACUGUGAUCGGUAU